UGACAUCUGUGAUUGUGAAAGAAGAUGAUGAUGCCAUUUUGCCCUGUUCCUCGGCACCAAUGAGAACAUUGAGUCAAUGGUGUUUGACUGGAAGAAGGAAGAAACAGUCCAGGUGUUCGUGUAUAAUAAGGGUGCCCAUUACAAUGAUCAAAAUGAGCAGUUCAAAAGUCGAGUCACACAUUUUCCAGAAGAGCUGAAGCACGGCAAUGCCUCCAUAAGAAUAAAAGAAACUAAGCGGGAGGACAAAGGAAACUACACCUGUUUUUUUCCAAACCGCAGUAAGACAUUCAAAGUUGAGCUUGUUGUUGGAAAAAUACAUAUGCCAUAAGGGCAAUCCAGCAGCUCUUCAAUGUCAAAAGAAGAUUUUGUGCUGCAGCAGACGUUCAUAAAUCUGAC
Oreochromis aureus is the source of this 396-nucleotide long non-coding RNA. NCBI's taxonomy places the organism in Eukaryota, Metazoa, Chordata, Actinopteri, Cichliformes, Cichlidae. The record is from Ensembl.